RNAcentral lists this ribosomal RNA (253 nucleotides) under uncultured bacterium. RNAcentral's name for it is "partial 16S ribosomal RNA". It matches the Rfam family "Bacterial small subunit ribosomal RNA", at positions 524 to 776 of the family's 1533-position model. The record is from RNAcentral.
UACGGGGGGGGCAAGCGUUGUUCGGAAUUACUGGGCGUAAAGGGCUCGUAGGUGGCCCACUAAGUCUGACGUGAAAUCCCUCAGCUUAACUGGGGAACUGCGUCUGAUACUGGAUGGCUUGAGUUUGGGAGAGGGAUGCGGAAUUCCAGGUGUAGCGGUGAAAUGCGUAGAUAUCUGGAGGAACACCGGUGGCGAAGGCGGCAUCCUGGACCAACACUGACACUGAGACGCGAAAGCGUGGGGAGCGAACAGG